This 256-nucleotide long non-coding RNA is filed under the name Polistes fuscatus (common paper wasp). RNAcentral's name for it is "uncharacterized LOC122524774". Lineage: Eukaryota; Metazoa; Arthropoda; Insecta; Hymenoptera; Vespidae. The record is from RNAcentral.
GGGAACGGUAUUAGUGCGCAUGCACAGAAAAACGGCGCGAUCAAAAGCUCCGCUUGGAUUGAUGCGAAUUUUCCGCUUUCAGUUGCUCAUGGAAAACGGCGCGUGUAGGUGGUCAAAUAGUUUCGAUCUGUUUAAAUGGAAGAAAAGAGAUUUCUGUUGCGUAGGAGUGAAACUUGAUGGUUUGAUGGCGUUUACAAAGAGGAAAGAUACAGGUAGAGAAAGAAAUAGAUAGAGAAUAAAUAGAUUGACUGAAAAA